Molecule: ribozyme, 116 nt
Filed under: Aedes aegypti (yellow fever mosquito)
Lineage: Eukaryota; Metazoa; Arthropoda; Insecta; Diptera; Culicidae
Description: drz-agam-1 ribozyme
Rfam family: drz-agam-1 ribozyme
Source: Rfam by way of RNAcentral
UGCCGAGCAACUCCUAUCUCUAACUCCUCGCGGCACUGGCCGGGGUAUGAGUAGCCUUAGGGAAAAUCGGGUAACCAACCACGGUGGGAACUUUGGUCGUAUGCUGACAGGGAAGG